RNAcentral lists this ribosomal RNA (271 nucleotides) under uncultured bacterium. Its description in RNAcentral is "partial 16S ribosomal RNA". It matches the Rfam family "Bacterial small subunit ribosomal RNA", at positions 793 to 1055 of the family's 1533-position model. The record is from RNAcentral.
GUCCUAGCCGUAAACGAUGCACAUUAGACGUGGGGGGUAUCGACCCCCUCCGUGUCGACGCAAACGCAUUAAAUGUGCCGCCUGGGGAGUACGGCCGCAAGGUUGAAACUCAAAGGAAUUGACGGGGGCCCGCACAAGCGGUGGAGCAUGUGGUUUAAUUCGACGCAACGCGAAGAACCUUACCUAGGCUUGAACCACUGGUAGUAGGAUUGAUGAAAAUCGAGACGAACCGUAAAGUCGGUUGCCAGAAGAGGUGCUGCAUGGCUGUCGU